UUCGGAAUCACUGGGCGUAAAGGGUGCGUAGACGGCAAAAUAAGUCAGUUAUAAAAUUUCUUGGCUCAACCAAGAGUCUGUGGCUGAAACUGUUUUGCUUGAGGAUGGAAGAGAGAAGUGGAAUUCUCGGAGUAGCGGUAAAAUGCGUAGAUCUCGAGAGGAACACCGAUGGCGAAGGCAGCUUCUUGGUCCAUUCCUGACGUUGAUGCACGAAAGCGUGGGGAGCAAACAGGAUUAGAUACCCUGGUAGUCCACGCCGUAAACGAUGAUCACUAGAUGUCAGGCCCGUUUUAGGGUUUGGUGUCGCAGCUAACGCGUUAAGUGAUCCGCCUGGGAAGUACGGUCGCAAGAUUAAAACUUAAAGGAAUUGACGGGGGUCCGCACAAGCGGUGGAACAUGUGGUUUAAUUCGAUAUUACGCGAGGAACCUUACCUAGGCUUGACAUGCUUUUGACCGCUAUGGAAACAUAGUUUUCUAGGCUUCGGUUUAGACAAUUGCACAGGUGCUGCAUGGCU
This 515-nucleotide ribosomal RNA is filed under the name uncultured bacterium. Its description in RNAcentral is "bacterial SSU rRNA". It matches the Rfam family "Bacterial small subunit ribosomal RNA", at positions 544 to 1050 of the family's 1533-position model. The record is from RNAcentral.